Molecule: ribosomal RNA, 389 nt
Filed under: uncultured bacterium
Lineage: Bacteria
Description: bacterial SSU rRNA
Rfam family: Bacterial small subunit ribosomal RNA
Source: RNAcentral
AAUCAACGCUGGCGGCGUGCCUAACACAUGCAAGUCGAACGCGAAAGCCCGCAAGGGUAAGUAGAGUGGCGCACGGGUGAGUAACACGUGGACAACCUGCCUUCGAGUGGGGAAUAACCUUCCGAAAGGAGGGCUAAUACCGCAUAACACCUCGGGACACAAGUUCUGGGGUUGAAAAGAGCAAUUUGCUCGAAGAGGGGUCCGCGCCUGAUUAGCUAGUUGGUGAGGUAACGGCUCACCAAGGCUUCGAUCAGUAGCCGUCCUGAGAGGGAGCACGGCCACACUGGAACUGAGACACGGUCCAGACUCCUACGGGAGGCAGCAGUGGGGAAUUUUGGCAAUGGGCGAAAGCCUGACCAAGCAACGCCGCGUGGGUGAUGAAGUAUCUU